RNAcentral lists this ribosomal RNA (229 nucleotides) under uncultured bacterium. RNAcentral's name for it is "partial 16S ribosomal RNA". It matches the Rfam family "Bacterial small subunit ribosomal RNA", at positions 568 to 796 of the family's 1533-position model. The record is from RNAcentral.
UCCGUAGGCGGGCUAAUAAGUCAGGGGUGAAAUCCCACAGCUCAACUGUGGAACUGCCUUUGAUACUGUUAGUCUUGAGUUAUAUGGAAGUAGAUAGAAUGUGUAGUGUAGCGGUGAAAUGCAUAGAGAUUACACAGAAUACCGAUUGCGAAGGCAGUCUACUACGUAUAUACUGACGCUAAUGGACGAAAGCGUGGGGAGCGAACAGGAUUAGAUACCCUGGUAGUCC